RNAcentral lists this long non-coding RNA (235 nucleotides) under Brassica rapa (field mustard). Its description in RNAcentral is "long non-coding RNA (BRAP_LNC007639)". Lineage: Eukaryota; Viridiplantae; Streptophyta; Magnoliopsida; Brassicales; Brassicaceae. The record is from RNAcentral.
UUAUGGGCCUGUUUGUUUCUCCAUUUGGAUGGAUCAUCUGGAUGAAGAUGAGAGUUUUGUUUGUUUAGGCACUAAAAGUGCAAUUCAUUCAAAUGGAUCAUCCGGAUGAUUUUUGGAAAUUUAGGCUUAAUUUUAAAGUCCAUUCAGCUGAACCAAUUUGGAUCAUUUGAAUGGAGAUGAUUCAUUCAAAAUGGUAUAAAGUCUAUUAUGCCCCUAAUGUAAUUCACAAAUUACA